This 462-nucleotide ribosomal RNA is filed under the name uncultured bacterium. RNAcentral describes it as "bacterial SSU rRNA". It matches the Rfam family "Bacterial small subunit ribosomal RNA", at positions 28 to 505 of the family's 1533-position model. The record is from RNAcentral.
GAUUAACGCUGGCGGUGUGCAUAACACAUGCAAGUCGAGCGCCCAGCACCCAGUUGAGAAGCUAUUCUCGAUUGAGUGCUGGGAGCGGCAGACGGGUGAGUAACACGUUGGAAUCUGCCCCGAAGUCAGGGAUAAGCCUCAGAAAUGAGGUCUAAUACCGGAUAGUCCCGCAAGGGUAAAGCAGCAAUGCGCUACGGGAGGAGCCUGCGUAUUAUCAGCUUGUUGGUGAGGUAAAAGCUUACCAAGGCUAUGACGAUUAGCUGGUCUGAGAGGAUGAUCAGCCACAAUGGAACUGAGACACGGUCCAUACUCCUACGGGAGGCAGCAGUGAGGAAUCUUCCACAAUGGGCGAAAGCCUGAUGGAGCAACACCGCGUGAAGGAUGACGGCCUUUUGGUUGUAAACUUCUUUUCUGAAGGAAGAAUUCUGACGGUACUUCAGGAAUAAGCAUCGGCUAACUCCG